Molecule: long non-coding RNA, 3058 nt
Organism: Triticum aestivum (bread wheat)
Lineage: Eukaryota; Viridiplantae; Streptophyta; Magnoliopsida; Poales; Poaceae
Exons: 4
Source: RefSeq, a predicted model, not a curated record
GGGACGCAUGAGGCAUCCGCCCAAAAACCUCUCGGCCUCUCUCGUCCUACAGUACAAGGGGGCAAAAAACGGUGACACCAGGGAGGCGCCCUCUGGCGCCGGAUCCGGCGUUUCCCUUCCUAUUUAAUGCCGGGCAGCUGAGGGGAACUGGAAUCCCUGCGUGGAGGUGUGCACAGGGUUAGGUUUUCGUCGCCGUGGCUUCGGAGAUGGUAGCGAGUGGAAUAAGGGAUGGCCGGGCUUCUCCCCGUCCGUACGGCGUCAGAUACGGUGCCCGCGAGGAGUCGGAGACCUUUUGUAUCGCGGAUCCGGUCGACCGGAGCCUGUGGUGGUGAUUCUCUUCACUGGAAACUGCGCCGGCGAUGGUGGCAGCUCCCGGCGAGGCGACGGUUGUUGGGGCUUCAGUCCCUGUUUGUUUGGGGGACGAGGUUUGCAGCAGUUCUUCAUCCUUUGCGUCUCCGGCGAGCUGGAGUCUUGGUGGAGGCAUGGAGCCAUCCAAUCUGUGGAGAUUAUCCCCGGCCGAUGCGCCCGAACCCGACCUUUGUUCCUGUUCGCUGGACAGGAUCUACAUGCGGCCUCCAAAGCCUUUGAAGGCGAUGCACUAUGCAGAUGGAUGGUUUCUCGACGGCGGUUCGAGUAGACGGUGAGCGGCCGACCGGCUUGAUGGCAGCGGUGAGCGGCGUAUUUUUCUGUUUCGGUGAGAUUUCUUCAUCUUUGUGUCUCAUGUACGCAUGCGUACUGUUCUUUUUGCUGGAUGCAUGAGUGGCGUGUUCUGUUUGCUGUAUAAAUGCCUGGACAGCUGAUGAAGGUGUCCGAUUUGCUCGCAUGCUGCCAUCAUGGGUGUUUGUUGUAGAGAGAUCGGGGGAUUUUGUUGUUGUUGAGAAAAGGACACAUACACCUCAUGUAUUCAUCCAGCAAACGAGACGGUACAUAUGCGUAUAUGAGAACAGUACCUUCAUUGGAGGAACCGAACGGGUGAUCUAUGUGUUUUCGUAUGCAAUUGAUUGGCUACAACAACAAAAACUCUUGAUUUUUUGGUUGAAAUAAUUUAUAAAGCUGUCGGAUGCACUGCUACUAAUCUUCCUUCAGCCAGAUAUCUCACUCAUCUUGAUCCUCCAAGUCAUUUUUUUCUUAGUCAGGUUUUAUGUUUAGACAACUAGAUUUAUGUGAAAUUGUACCUUGACAUGUUUUUUUUGCAUGAAGGUCAUUGCUACAGAUGUCAAAUAAAUUUACCAUAUGUAUGUACUAUAGUCUGCUCUUGCAAUCAUCUGCCAGAGUUAGGAAACAUCUGCGCCCUCAACGCCAUGUGGAACAUGUUUAAUUCCUCUCUCUGUAUGAGGCAUCUCAAAGUAAGGACAUGUUGUCACUUCCAGGUUCCAGCCAAACAAGCAGUGAGAGUGUUGUCAUUAUCCUUUGGAACACUGCUUUAUAGUCCAACUAUCCUUAGAGAAGCGACCUCACAAGAUAAUACAUCAGCAGUCAGUGUAGUUGCUUCUGACGAUACAGAAAAAAAUUCAAACGAGAAACCCCGGUACAAAAUAAAAAGUCGAAUUUACUGAAGAUGCUAGCAGCAAAUUCAAAAGGCCGUUUACAGAUAACAAUGAACACGUACAAAUCACCAUUACUGACAGAAAAUCAACAAAUCAACAUCCUACGAGGUAAAUCCUAUCAUUCUUCCAUACAUUUAUAGAAGAAAAUUAAAAUACAUAUUCUGAUUUGACAUGACCUUCUAUUCCCACUAUUAAACCACAACAGCAGAAAGAAUUUGAUCUUACUCAGAAUUCCUCCGGUGCAGCAUGCAUCUAAUUGUUCAUGAUUUGUUUAUUUUUCUACAUCAAUUGUUCCACCUUUGAAAAUCAUAUGCUUGAUAUUCUUAAAUGAACCUUUGCUACAUAUAAAUUAUUAAAAUUACCUAAGUUUCUUCGGUUUAAGAUUAGGUAGAUUCUUUAUUAAGUGGUAGCUCUAAGAGUUUUUAGGACCACCAGUACACAAGACACCUAUUGUCUUUGAAUUAAAAUAACCUGAAAGAAUGGCACUUGAUAGAAACAACACAAGGCACUAUGGUACAUACAUCUAUGUCAAGAUGUGUAUCAAAAUUUUCUGUGUCUUUAUGUGGCACUGCAAGAACGACGGGAAACAUUUGAGGACAGGCAAAGUAAUGCCAGAAGAAAAAAAUAUCUACAAAGGUAUUAUCUAACAGAAUGAACCAGUUCUUCAGAAUGAACACACUCAUGGUACGAUCCACUUAAUACCGUCCUAAUAAUACUGCAACGUUUACACAUUGUAGGGUAGGCUAUGCUACAAUAGAGAUACAUGCUUCAUUUUCUUCCAUGCCAGUUACCUAUAUAUAGUAGUAUAAAUAAUUGCUAUCUUGAUCGCCACCUAUUCUUCAGCGGUAUAAAAUUACAAAAGUAUCAUCAUGUUGGACUACAUGUAUCUACAUCAACUGUUAUCAUGCACAUAUUUUCUGGAAACCUCCAUUGUGAGGCAUUUGGUGUCCUCUUCACCUUACCUUAAUGUACACCGCCAGCUAUGCAUUAUGUGCAAGACUGCUGUACUGUUUUAUUACUUGAGAUUUUUUUUCGUGUCCUUUCUUAGGAAAUUCCUGAAAAAAGUCCCGCAGCAACGCGCGGGGCAUCAUCUAGUUUAAUUAAUGCACAUAUACUUGGUAAAGGGUGGAAGGCUCGACCUUUUGCCUAGCAUUUUGUUCCACUCUUGACACCCUAGUUUGCCUCAUACCGGUGUUAUGUUCCUUGAUAUUGUGUCCCCAACACGAUGAGCGUUAUGGGGCCAUCUUGACAGUUCGCUGAUAAAACUCUUCCAUCAAGGCUCAACAUUGGUUUUAACAUUUUCCAUAAUAAUACUUGAACUAAAUAAUAAAGUGGCAUAGGGCGUCGUGAACCCAAGUAUUUUUCUACAUAGUAGGGGGACAGUGCUGAUAGUCGGAUGUUGUUCUCAUGUAUGAUGUUCAUGUAUUCGGUGGCAUUGUAUGUCUUUUGUAUGUAUCCCCAUCUAUUAUGUAAUGGUACGAUGCAAUGAUAUCCACCAUGAAAAAUUGUCU